CACAAGUAAGACAAUCACUUGUGUUUCCCUACGUGAUCACUAAGUGGAAAGGAGAAUUGCCUAGGAUCCUUCCAUGUGUCCCUAAUAGCUCUUUUUAUCAUGGUCCAAAGACGACUAUUCCAAAGCUAAUUCUCUCCUCAAACCAUCCCUUCAUCUUUUUCAGGGAUGACUAGCUUCGUCUUUCAAAUAUAAAACUGAAGCCACCAGAAGUGAAUGCCUAUAUCAUUUUUGACAUAGAAGCCCUCUUAAUAUACACUGUGUGACAGCUGAUGUUCAUCUCUCAGGGACCUACAGACUCGAAAGAGGAAUUCUCUAUGAGAAGUACCUGCACGCAGAUAUAAGCCCCACCUCGUCUGAGAGGAAGGAUGCAGCCUACAGUGGGAAGGACCUUCUUUUCUGAGAAUCCUUUUGAAAAAUAGUUGCCUGUGUCACAGCAAAAGCAAGAUGAAAGUGUCUAGAAGGAGGUGCAGACAAGGAGCAGCCCAGAGGUGGGGCUCUGGCAGGCGGCACUGGAAGGCCUGUGAGCUUCAAGCUGUGGCUCACGGGGGCGUUCGGUCACUGUACAGUUCCUGGCCAUCGCAUGGACCAGAUGCCUCUUUCCAUGGGCGUUGGCCACUGUGGCUCCAUUCAGCUUGGACUUUGCUCCCUGGACCUGUGUGUGCAGUGGUCAGAGUUGGAGCUACAACACAAGGCAGAGUAAACCCCUGCCUUUCCCUCACAGCCUGUCCAGGACAAAUGGGGCUGGAGUAACUGAGCAGCCUUACCUCCUCGGUACAGAAGCGAGCGGAGGACCUCACAUGCCACGCACAAUACUGGGUGACUCCUCCAUUAUUGACGGCUCCACCCUCCAGUUAUUGAUGGCCAUAUUCAGCAGGCUGUGUCCUAUUGAAGUAAAAACAAAUGGCAGGACACAGAGGAGGAAUUAAUUAGGAGGAGAAACAGAGGAGGUUUUCUUUCAGUCAGUUUUGAGUUAAUUGGCAUUACUUUAUUCUUUUGGAUUUUAUUUACUUGCUGUUUACUUAUUAUUUGCUCUAUUACUUCAUAUUCUUGUUCUUUAAUCCAAAUUUACAUUAGAAGUACAGUGUGUCUUAGAUGAACUGUAACUUCUGGAAACUGCUCAGUCAUCAAAACUAAGCUGGCAAGAAAUUGACAACAAACUCUCCUUCUCUUCCAGCUGUGAACUCUAAAGUUUCUGUCUACAUGUACAAAAGAUAAAAGAAAAUAAACAUUUGCAUUUUGUGCAUAAGGGAAAAUCUAUUGUCUUUUUCUUUAAAAAAUGACAAAUGGGCAUUUUUAAGUUUCAAAUUUACAUAAAACUCAACAGAUUUUUAUCAAUUGUUGAUAUUAUAUUCACGUGACAUAUUUAUUGCAGUUAGUGAACCAAUACCACUGCUCUUAACUGAUGUCCAUAUUUUUUUGUUCAGAUUGCCUUAGCUUUUACAUGAUGUCCUGUUAACGAAUCUGAGCCAAUCAUUUUUAUUACUCAUUUAUUAUUGCAAGACUGCAUCUCACUAACUUGUGAAAUUUCCCAAAAUGGGUUCUGACUUACAAUCCCCCUGCUUCAGCCUCCCAGAGUGCUGUAAUUACAGUCAUAUACCACUAUGCCUGGCUUUCACAUUGAUUUUAAUAAUAUUUUCUUUACUUCCUUUUGGCUGUAGCAGUUUAUUAGAUAUUCCUUAUUUCUGCUAACUUUAGUAGCUUUAGAAAAUUCUGGUUAGCUAUUUUUAGAACACCAUUCAUUUGCAAUUUGUUUUUUUGGAGUUAUGGUUUUUAAGGGGAAAAAUAAAUGUAUGUUCAUCACAUCAUUUCAGAAGCACACACUGUUGACAUGAGUGUCACUGUAUCCUGAUUCUGAUACCUGGCAGAGGUGUUUCUUAGGUUUCUUCACUGUGCAGUACAGCGUAAGUUUUAAUAUCAUGUUUAUUGGAGGGAAGGAACUUUACUCAGUGCACAGUUACGGAGCAGAGAGUUAUGCUUCUGCUACUUGAAGGCAGAGCAUUUACAGAAACUCCUAGAAGUUCUUCUCUAUGAGAAGCUUGUCUCUUGUCCCCAUUCAUUUUAAUCAGUUUUAUUUAUAUUAGUACAAUCUCAUAUGUACUUAUUUUAUAUCUUGGAUUUAAGAAGCCAAUGUCACUUUUGUUUUGUUCCCUAAACUUUUCUGGUUUUGAGGAUUGGUAGCUUUUCAGUUGGCUUCUGUGUCUCUCUAAUGAAUGUCCCUGAAUAUUGGUUUUGUCUUUCCUACCUUCUGGCAAGAUAAGGUCCUGCAGGCUCACCUUCUGUAUUUCCUGCCCCAGUCUUAGGAAAGGUCAUUUCUCCAUAAAGUGCUGACUCCAUUAAUGCAGGAAAGUGUUUGAAACCAACAGUUGGUUUUCAGGCAUACUGUGUGCUCGCAAAGUAUUAUCCCCAGCCUCUCCCAUGUGAUACAGAGAGCAUCCUCUCCAUAUGUCAAUAGUCUAUAUGUGGCUAAAAUGUGAGAAAACAGUCUGGUUCUGUGGUUGUGAAUAUUUAUGUUUCCUGAUAUGCUUUCUAAGCAGAGGAUCCCUCAAUCAAACUCUUGCUCACUUGGAGUCAGAGGUUGAGUUCCUUAAAAAAAUUAAAAAAACAAAACAAAACAAAACAAAAAAACAGGUGACAGAGUGCAGCUUUGUUCUUCCAAUCCAGAAUCUGGCCCAAGAGUAGCAACAACAGAAAACAUGGAAGUCACACUGACUUGGGCUAUUUUUUACACAUACAAUGGGAUUUUCUGCACACUUCUAUUCAUCACUUCUAGCCCAAUAUUGGCUGCCUUUACCUGGCUCUUGGUUUCUAUUUGUCCCACGGCUUCCAAU
Molecule: long non-coding RNA, 2828 nt
Organism: Cavia porcellus (domestic guinea pig)
Lineage: Eukaryota; Metazoa; Chordata; Mammalia; Rodentia; Caviidae
Source: Ensembl